Stegastes partitus (bicolor damselfish) is the source of this 1032-nucleotide long non-coding RNA. RefSeq lists it as uncharacterized. Lineage: Eukaryota; Metazoa; Chordata; Actinopteri; Pomacentridae. The transcript has 2 exons. The record is from RefSeq and is a predicted model, not a curated record.
CUCUUCCCUUCUCUAAAGCUUCUGGGUUCGGGACUCAGCCCAGAAAUAUAUUAAUUAAAGCGCACUACUACGGACCUUUUUUUUUUUUUUCCUUUUCUUUUUCUUUUUUUUUUUUUUUUGAAGCAUUGAGGAAGAAGCGGUUGGAUCAAGUCAAGCUCUGUCAACGACGGAUGGAUGAAGAUUCAUGGCAAGAAAAGGAAAAAAAAGCGAUCAAUGCCGCAGCACUCUCUCGUUCACCCUGAACUGGCGAUGAACUCCUCCGGAAUGCCGCCAGCUUCUCCACCCUAUCCCAUCGCAGUUCAGGGUCACCAGGGGGGUGUCUCUGUGCCAAUAUGCAGAUGAGCCUGUGCCCCUCCAAUGACUCUGGUGUUAAGCUCCACCCCUCUAUAUGGUGAAGCUUUUGAAACUAAGUCCACUCCCCCAGACAACACUCACACGCAUAGAGACAUAAAGUCGCUCUCAUGCAGACUUAAACACUCCUUUAACAACUUAUGUCCACUCUUCAUUUAAUAGCCAAAGUGUGUUGAACCUAAUGGAUGUUGUCAAAGCUGAGAUGUGACCACUGAUUUAAAGGAGGAACCCCAGUGAUCAGACAGAGAGAGAGGGAAGAGAAGAAGAGAGAGAAUUACAUCAGCUAUGCCACAAAUCAAAGUAAUAUCUUUAAAAGAUGUGGGAAUCGAUGAGGUGUCAUCUGGCUGUAUCUGGUGUGUAAAGUGAACCCAUAAACAGCCAAUACUACUUUAUCCUCAAUUUUAGCCCGUUGCUGAAAAAAAGUUUUUUUUAAACUGUUAAGCAGAUUUUUUUAUGGGCAAUUGAUUUCAUGUAUUGGCAAAAGAUGUAAUGGACCAAGAGCUUUUCUGUUUUCAUGAUUUUAAUUAUAACUUGUAUCUUGUAUUUAAUUGAUGAACUUUAACAAUAAAGUACCCUGUGUGUUUAUGUGUGCCUUAUUGCAUUAACUAUAAAACAAUUAAGAUGCUAAUUUUAACAGUUUAUUGUAAUUGCAUUAAUCUAAUAAAGUUUAUUCUAAAGACA